UGGGGAAUAUUGCACAAUGGGCGCAAGCCUGAUGCAGCCAUGCCGCGUGUGUGAAGAAGGCCUUCGGGUUGUAAAGCACUUUCAGCGAGGAGGAAGGUGGUGAGCUUAAUACGCUCAUCAAUUGACGUUACUCGCAGAAGAAGCACCGGCUAACUCCGUGCCAGCAGCCGCGGUAAUACGGAGGGUGCAAGCGUUAAUCGGAAUUACUGGGCGUAAAGCGCACGCAGGCGGUUUGUUAAGUCAGAUGUGAAAUCCCCGGGCUCAACCUGGGAACUGCAUUUGAAACUGGCAAGCUAGAGUCUCGUAGAGGGGGGUAGAAUUCCAGGUGUAGCGGUGAAAUGCGUAGAGAUCUGGAGGAAUACCGGUGGCGAAGGCGGCCCCCUGGACGAAGACUGACGCUCAGGUGCGAAAGCGUGGGGCAGCAAACAGGAUUAGAUACCCUGGUAGUCCACGCUGUAAACGAUGUCGAUUUUGGAGGUUGUGCCCCUUGAGGCGUGGCUUCCGGAGCUAACGNGUUAAAUCGACCGCCUGGGGAGUACGGCCGCAAGGCUAAAACUCAAAUGAAUGAC
Molecule: ribosomal RNA, 569 nt
Filed under: uncultured bacterium
Lineage: Bacteria
Description: partial 16S ribosomal RNA
Rfam family: Bacterial small subunit ribosomal RNA
Source: RNAcentral